Molecule: long non-coding RNA, 399 nt
Organism: Triticum dicoccoides
Lineage: Eukaryota; Viridiplantae; Streptophyta; Magnoliopsida; Poales; Poaceae
Exons: 3
Source: RefSeq, a predicted model, not a curated record
GGUUGCAUGACUUCUGCUAGGUGUUUUGAUACUUUUCGGUCUCUACUUGAAUGUUGCGUACCUAAUUUUUUAGUGGCCAACAAUCUUGCACUGAUUCUUGCUAGGGGUCAUCAAGGAAACUCAAUAGAUGGCUAUUUCACUGGAGAUUAUACCAGAGGUGUUGUUUUGAAAGUAUAUGCCAGGAGAGAAAGAUAUACUUGAAACCCGAUGAGGUCAAUGAUGUGGAGAUUUUACCAGAGAUGUUGUUUUCAAGUAAGAUUUUGUGUGAUAUUAUACCGAUCGCUCCAACACGCCACAUUGUUGCUCCACGGCAAAGGCAGCGAGAGCGGCGGUUUCGACGGCGACUGGCUGCCUGCUGCUUGCUUGUACGUGUGGAAGGCAGUUGUUCACGGCAGACCA